This is a non-coding RNA of Hordeum vulgare subsp. vulgare (domesticated barley), 124 nucleotides long. The record is from Rfam. Lineage: Eukaryota; Viridiplantae; Streptophyta; Magnoliopsida; Poales; Poaceae.
CAACUACUCCCUUCGUCCGGAAAUACUUGUCAUGAAAAUGGAUGUAUCUAGAUGUAUNNNNNNUCUAGAUACAUCCAUUUUUAUACAUCACGCGACAAGUAAUUCCGGACGGAGGGAGUAUAAA